RNAcentral lists this unclassified non-coding RNA (334 nucleotides) under soil metagenome. RNAcentral describes it as "partial contains 5.8S ribosomal RNA, internal transcribed spacer 2, and large subunit ribosomal RNA". The stretch from base 1 to 120 matches the Rfam family "5.8S ribosomal RNA", at positions 35 to 154 of the family's 154-position model. The record is from RNAcentral.
GAUCAAGAACGUAGCGAAAUGCGAUAAGUAAUGUGAAUUGCAGAAUUCAGUGAAUCAUCGAAUCUUUGAACGCACAUUGCGCCCGCCAGUAUUCUGGCGGGCAUGCCUGUUCGAGCGUCAUUUCAACCAUCAAGCCCCGGGCUUGUGUUGGGGACCUGCGGCUGCCGCAGGCCCUGAAAUGCAGUGGCGGGCUCGCUGUCACUCCGAGCGUAGUAGUUACAUCUCGCUCUGGGCGUGCUGCGGGUUCCGGCCGUUAAAAGCCUUAUUUACCCAAGGUUGACCUCGGAUCAGGUAGGAAGACCCGCUGAACUUAAGCAUAUCAAUAAGCGGAGGA